This 235-nucleotide long non-coding RNA is filed under the name Olea europaea (common olive). RNAcentral's name for it is "long non-coding RNA (OEUR_LNC005830)". Lineage: Eukaryota; Viridiplantae; Streptophyta; Magnoliopsida; Lamiales; Oleaceae. The record is from RNAcentral.
GUGCUGGAGAUAAUUCAACAAGGAAGUCUACUGGAAACCCGGAUUCUUCAAAUAAUAGUCAACGUGCAGUUUCUCAUUAUCUGAGAGCUUCAACUGGUUCUUGCCAUGAUUUCUGCAAAUAUGGCAGAAAAACAUGCAUUUGAUCAUUUGGAGAGAAGUUAAGGUGCCCUCUUUUGAAGAGAAUGACAAAACUUGAGUCAAACAAGCAGAAUCCUAUGGACACACCAGUUCCAGC